This 1063-nucleotide ribosomal RNA is filed under the name uncultured bacterium. Its description in RNAcentral is "bacterial SSU rRNA". It matches the Rfam family "Bacterial small subunit ribosomal RNA", at positions 472 to 1533 of the family's 1533-position model. The record is from RNAcentral.
ACGGUAGUUACCAGAAAGGGACGGCUAACUACGUGCCAGCAGCCGCGGUAAUACGUAGGUCCCGAGCGUUGUCCGGAUUUAUUGGGCGUAAAGCGAGCGCAGGCGGUUUGAUAAGUCUGAAGUUAAAGGCUGUGGCUCAACCAUAGUUCGCUUUGGAAACUGUCAAACUUGAGUGCAGAAGGGGAGAGUGGAAUUCCAUGUGUAGCGGUGAAAUGCGUAGAUAUAUGGAGGAACACCGGUGGCGAAAGCGGCUCUCUGGUCUGUAACUGACGCUGAGGCUCGAAAGCGUGGGGAGCGAACAGGAUUAGAUACCCUGGUAGUCCACGCCGUAAACGAUGAGUGCUAGGUGUUGGAUCCUUUCCGGGAUUCAGUGCCGCAGCUAACGCAUUAAGCACUCCGCCUGGGGAGUACGACCGCAAGGUUGAAACUCAAAGGAAUUGACGGGGGCCCGCACAAGCGGUGGAGCAUGUGGUUUAAUUCGAAGCAACGCGAAGAACCUUACCAGGUCUUGACAUCCCGAUGCUAUUUCUAGAGAUAGAAAGUUACUUCGGUACAUCGGUGACAGGUGGUGCAUGGUUGUCGUCAGCUCGUGUCGUGAGAUGUUGGGUUAAGUCCCGCAACGAGCGCAACCCCUAUUGUUAGUUGCCAUCAUUCAGUUGGGCACUCUAGCGAGACUGCCGGUAAUAAACCGGAGGAAGGUGGGGAUGACGUCAAAUCAUCAUGCCCAUUAUGACCUGGGCUACACACGUGCUACAAUGGUUGGUACAACGAGUUGCGAGUCGGUGACGGCGAGCUAAUCUCUUAAAGCCAAUCUCAGUUCGGAUUGUAGGCUGCAACUCGCCUACAUGAAGUCGGAAUCGCUAGUAAUCGCGGAUCAGCACGCCGCGGUGAAUACGUUCCCGGGCCUUGUACACACCGCCCGUCACACCACGAGAGUUUGUAACACCCGAAGUCGGUGAGGUAACCUUUUGGAGCCAGCCGCCUAAGGUGGGACAGAUGAUUGGGGUGAAGUCGUAACAAGGUAGCCGUAUCGGAAGGUGCGGCUGGAUCACCUCCUUUCUAA